UAGCCCACGUUGUAUUAUAAUUAUUUGGCUUUGCGUUGCAAUUGAUUCUAUAGUAAGAUGCAUCUGUUACUGCAACUCUCUCUGGCAUGUUCAAUAAUUGCCGGAUGUUCCACGCAGACAAUCCCUCCGCACUGUCUGCGCCUAAGAUGCUGCUUAUACAAGGGAAAAUGGUACGAGCCCGGUUCUGAAUUCCAAGACGAAUGCAAUGAUUGCUGGUGCAACAACGGGCGUGUAGGAUGUACGAGAAUCGACUGCGGAAACAAACCAGGCGUGUGUCCUGAGCCAGGCAUUGGGCUAUGCUGGGAAGAGUGCAGUUCCGAUCGUGUCUGUCCGUAUGAAAAGAAAUGCUGUUUCAAUGGCUGCGGACAUACAUGUGAACAACCAAACAAUUAACAGCGUUUUCCGAUUUUUGUAGAUGUGACCCUUUUCAAUAUAAUGAAUGGAUGUAACGUUACAUUAUUUAAGUAAAUUUGUAUGUACAAAUGACAAUGUACGUAUGUAUACGUUGUAUUAAACUGU
Dreissena polymorpha is the source of this 519-nucleotide long non-coding RNA. RefSeq lists it as uncharacterized. The record is from RefSeq and is a predicted model, not a curated record. Lineage: Eukaryota; Metazoa; Mollusca; Bivalvia; Myida; Dreissenidae. The transcript has 4 exons.